UCAAAAGAUUCAUGUUAUGUCAAUCAUUUCAUGACGUAUGAUUAAAAAAAAAGAAUCAUUUCAUGUGACCGUAAAAUAUUCAAUCAAAAAGUCAUUUACCAAACUUGCAACAAGUACUUCUUUUGCUUGAUUGGUUCCCUAGAAAGCAGUGAUGCUUUCAGUUGGUGUUUUUUCUUUCUUGGGUGUUUUUUGUAAAAAUUUUGCUCCAUCUCCUCCCUUCUCUCUCCUCCAUCCCCGCCCAAACCAUCUCUCCAAAAUCCAAACCCGACCUACCACCACUGACGCAUCCCGUCCCCACCACCACCGACAGAGCACCACAAACGCACGAUCACCGCCAACGGUCAUUCUCACUUGGUUUUGAUCCAUGAAUAGGAGCGCCUUCAACUUUGCUCGUAUGGAUCUGGAAUUUCGAAGCCCUAAUUUUGUUGCUUCUCUUUUCUUUGUCUACACUGUGUUGUACCACCGCCACCAUCGGACUCCACCAGUCAUCGAUCCCUCCUCUCCCACAGGUUUCACAAAGAUGAUGAGAGCUGAUGUUAGAGCACUCUCAGCCUCUCACUCAAGAAACCAGAAGAUCACACCAACAUCCAUUGGAGAUUACCCAUCUGGGUUUAGACCCAUUAGAGUUGCAGACCAAAGCUCUGGUUUAAUUGGAAGCACUGAAGAGCAAGAAACAGCAGAAAUCAAGGCAGAGCUUUAAGAGGCAAUGCAAGCCGAGCAGACAAACAAUGGGGUAGAAGACGCCUAGUAUGGUGGUGGAGGGUACAAUGGCUGCGGAUAUGGAGGAGGCCCAGGCGGAGGAGGAGGCCCGGGCGGAGGAGGAGGGGGAUGCCGUUAUAGAUGUUGCGAUCGUGGUUAUUACGGAAGGUGCAGGAGGUGCUGCUCCUACGAAGAGGCCGGGGAAAAAGGAAACUCUGAUCAGGAAAUUCUGAUCAGAGCCAAUGCCUCCGAUCCGGAAGCUUUAUCUAUGAUGAUUGUGCAAUGUUGCUUUUGAAGGAGUCAUGAAUAAAAGCAUGAGCGGAGGUGAUCCCAUCAAGCCUUUUUCACAAAAAAUCCACAUUGAUUGCACGUAUUGACCGCUUAGCUUACUGCACGCUUAUGUUACGCGGUGGGCCCCACCCUUUUAAAAAAAAAACAGGCUAAAAAUAAUUCCCAUAUUCAAAAUUCCAUUCAACUGGUGCGGGUUCUAGGAGAGAGAGAAGGGACGGCCAAGUAGACGUGCAGUAGGCUAAGCGGUCAAUAUAUGUGCUGUCAGUGUAGACUUUUUGGUACCAAGAUUGCUACUGGAAAGCAGUAAUGCUUUCAGGCGGUGCUCUUUCUUGGGUGUUUUUUUCCUCCUCGUUAUUAGAUAUUUAAUGAGAUUUGAAACCAGUUAAACGCAUGCAAGUUUAUGGUGUCUAGUACUAAGCUACCACCUAACUUACUUUUUGAGUCCUUUGCUUAUGGAGGACGUCGCGUCCAAUUUCCUGUAAUUUCUUUUCCCUAA
Rhododendron vialii is the source of this 1486-nucleotide long non-coding RNA. RefSeq lists it as uncharacterized. Lineage: Eukaryota; Viridiplantae; Streptophyta; Magnoliopsida; Ericales; Ericaceae. The transcript is spliced from 2 exons. The record is from RefSeq and is a predicted model, not a curated record.